RNAcentral lists this ribosomal RNA (253 nucleotides) under uncultured bacterium. RNAcentral describes it as "partial 16S ribosomal RNA". It matches the Rfam family "Bacterial small subunit ribosomal RNA", at positions 524 to 776 of the family's 1533-position model. The record is from RNAcentral.
UACGUAGGGUGCAAGCGUUAAUCGGAAUUACUGGGCGUAAAGCGUGCGCAGGCGGUUUUGUAAGUCUGUCGUGAAAUCCCCGGGCUCAACCUGGGAAUUGCGAUGGAGACUGCAAGGCUAGAGUUUGGCAGAGGGGGGUAGAAUUCCACGUGUAGCAGUGAAAUGCGUAGAUAUGUGGAGGAACACCGAUGGCGAAGGCAGCCCCCUGGGUCAAGACUGACGCUCAUGCACGAAAGCGUGGGGAGCGAACAGG